This 508-nucleotide ribosomal RNA is filed under the name uncultured bacterium. RNAcentral's name for it is "partial 16S ribosomal RNA". The stretch from base 20 to 323 matches the Rfam family "Bacterial small subunit ribosomal RNA", at positions 47 to 358 of the family's 1533-position model. The record is from RNAcentral.
GACGAACGCUGGCGGCGUGCUUAACACAUGCAAGUCGAACGGAAAGGCCCUGCUUUUGUGGGGUGCUCGAGUGGCGAACGGGUGAGUAACACGUGAGUAACCUGCCCUUGACUUUGGGAUAACUUCAGGAAACUGGGGCUAAUACCGGAUAGGAGCUCCUGCUGCAUGGUGGGGGUUGGAAAGUUUCGGCGGUUGGGGAUGGACUCGCGGCUUAUCAGCUUGUUGGUGGGGUAGUGGCUUACCAAGGCUUUGACGGGUAGCCGGCCUGAGAGGGUGACCGGGACUGGGGGGACGGAGGAGACUAGGCGCCGGGUAGCGGGGGGAGGGGGGAGGGAGUGGGGACCGGGGGGGGGAGCCCGCCGCAGCGCCGCGGGGGGGGGGAGGUCGGCCUGCGGGGUGUACAGCGCUUUCGCCGAGGAGUAAGCGGGAGUGACAGUUAGGGGGAAGGAAGCAGCGGCGAGGUAGGUGGCAGCGUCCGGGGGAGUGUACGGAGAGAACACUUACGACC